GACGAACGCUGGCGGCGUGCUUAACACAUGCCAGUCGAACGGAAAGGCCCUGCUUUUGUGGGGUGCUCGAGUGGCGAACGGGUGAGUAACACGUGAGUAACCUGCCCUUGACUUUGGGAUAACUUCAGGAAACUGGGGCUAAUACCGGAUAGGAGCUCCUGCUGCAUGGUGGGGGUUGGAAAGUUUCGGCGGUUGGGGAUGGACUCGCGGCUUAUCAGCUUGUUGGUGGGGUAGUGGCUUACCAAGGCUUUGACGGGUAGCCGGCCUGAGAGGGUGACCGGCUACAUUGGGACUGAGAUACGGCCCAGACUCCUACGGGAGGCAGCAGUGGGGAAUAUUGCACAAUGGGCGGAAGCCUGAUGCAGCAACGCCGCGUGCGGGAUGACGGCCUUCGGGUUGUAAACCGCUUUCGCCUGUGACGAAGCGUGAGUGACGGUAAUGGGUAAAGAAGCACCGGCUAACUACGU
RNAcentral lists this ribosomal RNA (467 nucleotides) under uncultured bacterium. Its description in RNAcentral is "partial 16S ribosomal RNA". It matches the Rfam family "Bacterial small subunit ribosomal RNA", at positions 28 to 506 of the family's 1533-position model. The record is from RNAcentral.